Molecule: ribosomal RNA, 439 nt
Filed under: uncultured bacterium
Lineage: Bacteria
Description: partial 16S ribosomal RNA
Rfam family: Bacterial small subunit ribosomal RNA
Source: RNAcentral
CCUACGGGUGGCAGCAGUGGGGAAUAUUGCACAAUGGGGGAAACCCUGAUGCAGCGACGCCGCGUGAGUGAAGAAGUAAUUCGUUAUGUAAAGCUCUAUCAGCAGGGAAGAAAAUGACGGUACCUGAGUAAGAAGCCCCGGCUAACUACGUGCCAGCAGCCGCGGUAAUACGUAGGGAGCAAGCGUUGUCCGGAAUUACUGGGUGUAAAGGGAGCGUAGGCGGGGAUGCAAGUUGGGUGUCAAAACUAUCGGCUCAACCGAUAGUCGCACUCAAAACUGCAGCUCUUGAGUGAAGUAGAGGCAGGCGGAAUUCCUAGGGUAGCGGUGAAAUGCGUAGAUAUACGGAGGAACACCAGUGGCGAAGGCGGAUUGCUGGACAGUAACUGACGCUGAGGCGCGAAAGCGUGGGGAGCAAACAGGAUUAGAUACCCUUGUAGUC